Molecule: ribosomal RNA, 253 nt
Filed under: uncultured bacterium
Lineage: Bacteria
Description: partial 16S ribosomal RNA
Rfam family: Bacterial small subunit ribosomal RNA
Source: RNAcentral
UACGAAGGGGGCUAGCGUUGUUCGGAAUCACUGGGCGUAAAGCGCACGUAGGCGGAUUGUUAAGUCGGGGGUGAAAUCCUGAGGCUCAACCUCAGAACUGCCUUCGAUACUGGCAAUCUCGAGUCCGGAAGAGGUUGGUGGAACAGCUAGUGUAGAGGUGAAAUUCGUAGAUAUUAGCUAGAACACCAGUGGCGAAGGCGGCCAACUGGUCCGGUACUGACGCUGAGGUGCGAAAGCGUGGGGAGCAAACCGG